GAAGAACGCUGGCGGCGUGCCUAAUACAUGCGAGUUGAGCGCUGAAGGUUGGUACUUGUACCAACUGGAUGAGCAGCGAACGGGUGAGUAACGCGUGGGGAAUCUGCCUUUGAGCGGGGGACAACAUUUGGAAACGAAUGCUAAUACCGCAUAAAAACUUUAAACACAAGUUUUAAGUUUGAAAGAUGCAAUUGCAUCACUCAAAGAUGAUCCCGCGUUGUAUUAGCUAGUUGGUGAGGUAAAGGCUCACCAAGGCGAUGAUACAUAGCCGACCUGAGAGGGUGAUCGGCCACAUUGGGACUGAGACACGGCCCAAACUCCUACGGGAGGCAGCAGUAGGGAAUCUUCGGCAAUGGACGAAAGUCUGACCGAGCAACGCCGCGUGAGUGAAGAAGGUUUUCGGAUCGUAAAACUCUGUUGGUAGAGAAGAACGUUGGUGAGAGUGGAAAGCUCAUCAAGUGACGGUAACUACCCAGAAAGGGACGGCUAACUACGUG
Molecule: ribosomal RNA, 497 nt
Filed under: uncultured bacterium
Lineage: Bacteria
Description: partial 16S ribosomal RNA
Rfam family: Bacterial small subunit ribosomal RNA
Source: RNAcentral